AUGGAUGUCAAAUCCGCUUUUCUGAAUGGUGAUCUUGCAGAGGAGGUCUAUGUACAGCAGCCGCCAGGGUUUGUCGAUGAUCGAGAGAGCUGCAAAGUGUACAAGUUGCAGAAGGCGUUGUACGGGCUGCGACAAGCACCACGGGCCUGGAAUGCUAAAUUGGAUGCAUCAUUGCAAGCCUUGGGUUUCAAAAGAAGCCGGCUGGAACAUGCUGUGUAUAGGCGUGGUGACCACAAGAACUUCCUGUUGGUGGGAGUAUAUGUGGAUGAUCUUGUUGGGAAUCGUAGCAUAAUUUUAAAAUUUUCCUACGCUCACCAAGAUGCAUCUAUGGAGUAUACUAGCAACGAGGGGAAAGGAGUGCAUGCGAGCGGAAGCGUUCCAAUGAACGUGGAUGACGGAGUCGUACUCGCCGUGAUCCAAAUCACCGAUGACCGAGUGCCGAACGGACGGCACCUCCGCGUUCAACACACGUACGGUGCAGCGACGUCUCCUCCUUCUUGA
Molecule: ribosomal RNA, 501 nt
Filed under: Triticum aestivum (bread wheat)
Lineage: Eukaryota; Viridiplantae; Streptophyta; Magnoliopsida; Poales; Poaceae
Description: partial small subunit ribosomal RNA
Source: RNAcentral